UAGGGAAUCUUCGGCAAUGGGGGGAACCCUGACCGAGCAACGCCGCGUGAGUGAAGAAGGUUUUCGGAUCGUAAAGCUCUGUUGUUAAGGAAGAACGAGUGUGAGAAUGGAAAGUUCAUACUGUGACGGUACUUAACCAGAAAGGGACGGCUAACUACGUGCCAGCAGCCGCGGUAAUACGUAGGUCCCGAGCGUUGUCCGGAUUUAUUGGGCGUAAAGCGAGCGCAGGCGGUUAGAUAAGUCUGAAGUUAAAGGCAGUGGCUCAACCAUAGUAGGCUUUGGAAACUGUUUAACUUGAGUGCAGAAGGGGAGAGUGGAAUUCCAUGUGAAGCGGUGAAAUGCGUAGAGAUAUGGAGGAACACCGGUGGCGAAAGCGGCUCUCUGGUCUGUAACUGACGCUGAGGCUCGAAAGCGUGGGGAGCGAACAGG
Molecule: ribosomal RNA, 429 nt
Filed under: Bacteroidota bacterium
Lineage: Bacteria; Pseudomonadati; Bacteroidota
Description: Bacteroidetes bacterium partial 16S ribosomal RNA
Rfam family: Bacterial small subunit ribosomal RNA
Source: RNAcentral